RNAcentral lists this long non-coding RNA (232 nucleotides) under Lathyrus oleraceus (garden pea). RNAcentral's name for it is "Pisum sativum (pea) long non-coding RNA (PSAT_LNC018563)". The record is from RNAcentral. Lineage: Eukaryota; Viridiplantae; Streptophyta; Magnoliopsida; Fabales; Fabaceae.
AACUUCAAGCCAAUGUAAAACAGUGCCAAAACAUGAGAAAUGAAUGGGACCAAAACCAAAAUGACAUUGAACAUGUUAGGCAUCACUCCAUCAAAUUUCAUCUUCAUAUGAUAAGGUAUGAGCAUUUCACAUAGCAUGUAAGGCAGUCACUCAAGCAAAACCCUAAAAUGUCUAAACAGCAAGCAAAAAUCCCAAUCAAAUAGGAAAUGGCUCAACACAUCCUACAAAAAAU